UGAUAAGAGAAUUACUGACAAGGUAAAACCAAAUGAAAACAAACUAACAGUGGGUGGAACGCGUGACACAGACUGUUGGUUCCAAUAUACACCAUUCUUCUGGUCGGAUGCAAAACAUGUUGCCAUGGACUCUUCUGCCAGAAACCCUGCUGUGAACACUGGUGUUGCAGCUCUCACUCUGGAACAUUUUCAAAAUGAGCUUCAGAAACCAG
Molecule: long non-coding RNA, 212 nt
Organism: Cottoperca gobio
Lineage: Eukaryota; Metazoa; Chordata; Actinopteri; Perciformes; Bovichtidae
Exons: 3
Source: RefSeq, a predicted model, not a curated record